CCAGCAGCUGCGGUAAUUCCAGCUCUAAUAGCGUAUAUUAAAGUUGUUGCAGUUAAAAAGCUCGUAGUCGGAUGUCGGGCUCGGGCAGGCUGUCGGCUUCGGUCGGACGGCAGGCUCGGGUCUUUCUGCCUGAGGAACCCGUGGCACUUAACUGUGCGGCGUGGGGACGCAGGCCGUUUACUUUGAAAAAAUUAGAGUGUUCAAAGCAGGCCUACGCUUGAAUACAUUAGCAUGGAAUAAUGGAAUAGGACUUUGGUGGUCUAUUUUGUUGGUUUGCACGCCAAAGUAAUGAUUAAUAGGGAUAGUUGGGGGUAUUCGUAUUCAAUUGUCAGAGGUGAAAUUCUUGGAUUUAUGGAAGACGAACUACUGCGAAAGCAUUUACCAAGGAUGUUUUCAUUAAUCAAGAACGAAAGU
RNAcentral lists this ribosomal RNA (414 nucleotides) under uncultured eukaryote. RNAcentral describes it as "SSU rRNA". It matches the Rfam family "Eukaryotic small subunit ribosomal RNA", at positions 567 to 990 of the family's 1831-position model. The record is from RNAcentral.